UACCAAAGAGUCCAAAAUGAAGAGGAGCCA
RNAcentral lists this non-coding RNA (30 nucleotides) under Mus musculus (house mouse). Lineage: Eukaryota; Metazoa; Chordata; Mammalia; Rodentia; Muridae. The record is from RNAcentral.